GCCCGAAUCCGGAAGAAACGACCUAAUGUAAUUGUAACUUGCCCUUGAUUGGCACAAUUUAUGAAAGAAGUUCCAUUUAGAACGAAGAUCUUUUUCAAGUUGGAAAUUCCUAGGAGAAGGGUCUUCAAGGGCUUGUACAUACACAUCCAUUAACAAACAAAAUGUGAGAGAUUAGAAGCAAUGCUUCCGGCCUGAAUCCAAGCUUCAUUCACCAACUAAAGGAAGUUAGGGUGUUUUGUGAGGUAGUUGAAGAAUUUAUACGAUUUGGUUUGAACUUUUGGUAACUGGUAGGCAAGGUCAACUAGCUAGGCUAGGAAAGCCAGAUGGUAAAGGUGGAAGGCAGGUUGUUGUACAAUUGAGAAACAGCGAGAGCCAGUGGUUGUUUACAAGAACACGGUCAAUCUUCUUAGCAAUAGAGGAGGAUGGGCCUUGGAAUCGCAUGUCAAACAGUUCGAGCUGAUUAAGGCUGUCCCUGAACUCAGUCAUAGACGCAGUGAUAAAGUUCACACGUGGUGAGGAGUGCUCUUCAAAAUGGAUAAUCUGAUUAAAGGAAAUGGAUUUGUUAUGCCAUUAUUUUCUUCAUUGUCGUUUGCACUUUGCUUCUCAUACCAACC
Capsella rubella is the source of this 614-nucleotide long non-coding RNA. RefSeq lists it as uncharacterized. The transcript has 3 exons. The record is from RefSeq and is a predicted model, not a curated record. NCBI's taxonomy places the organism in Eukaryota, Viridiplantae, Streptophyta, Magnoliopsida, Brassicales, Brassicaceae.